RNAcentral lists this long non-coding RNA (273 nucleotides) under Marmota monax (woodchuck). Lineage: Eukaryota; Metazoa; Chordata; Mammalia; Rodentia; Sciuridae. The record is from RNAcentral.
ACGCCCCCUUCCCCUCUCCCCCUUCCGGCUCGGCUCAGAGCCCCCAUCCCCACCCCCGUGGGAACGUUCGGAGCCUGCACUCCUCAGACCCUCUCCUCGCCUCUUCCCUCACCUCAGCCCCAGCUCCCCGCCCUCUUCCCGGCCCUGGGCGCCGGCCGACCCGUCCCUCCGCCGCCCCCCGGCCGCGGGGAGGACAUGGCCGCGCACAGGCCGGUGGAAUGGGUCCAGGCCGUGGUCAGCCGCUUUGACGAGCAGGUAACGGGCCCAUGGCGA